RNAcentral lists this ribosomal RNA (271 nucleotides) under uncultured bacterium. RNAcentral's name for it is "partial 16S ribosomal RNA". It matches the Rfam family "Bacterial small subunit ribosomal RNA", at positions 524 to 794 of the family's 1533-position model. The record is from RNAcentral.
UACGGAGGGAGCUAGCGUUGUUCGGAAUUACUGGGCGUAAAGCGCACGUAGGCGGCGAUUCAAGUCAGAGGUGAAAGCCCGGGGCUCAACCCCGGACUGCCUUUGUAAACUAGAUUGCUAGAAUCCUGGAGAGGUUAGUGGAAUUCCGAGUGUAGAGGUGAAAUUCGUAGAUAUUCGGAAGAACACCAGUGGCGAAGGCGACUAACUGGACAGGUAUUGACGCUGAGGUGCGAAAGCGUGGGGAGCAAACAGGAUUAGAUACCCGUGUAGU